This 472-nucleotide ribosomal RNA is filed under the name uncultured bacterium. Its description in RNAcentral is "bacterial SSU rRNA". It matches the Rfam family "Bacterial small subunit ribosomal RNA", at positions 355 to 825 of the family's 1533-position model. The record is from RNAcentral.
UGGGGAAUAUUGGACAAUGGGCGAAAGCCUGAUCCAGCCAUGCCGCGUGUGUGAAGAAGGUCUUCGGAUUGUAAAGCACUUUAAGUUGGGAGGAAGGGUUGUAGAUUAAUACUCUGCAAUUUUGACGUUACCGACAGAAUAAGCACCGGCUAACUCUGUGCCAGCAGCCGCGGUAAUACAGAGGGUGCAAGCGUUAAUCGGAAUUACUGGGCGUAAAGCGCGCGUAGGUGGUUUGUUAAGUUGGAUGUGAAAUCCCCGGGCUCAACCUGGGAACUGCAUCCAAAACUGACUGACUAGAGUAUGGUAGAGGGUGGUGGAAUUUCCUGUGUAGCGGUGAAAUGCGUAGAUAUAGGAAGGAACACCAGUGGCGAAGGCGACCACCUGGACUGAUACUGACACUGAGGUGCGAAAGCGUGGGGAGCAAACAGGAUUAGAUACCCCCGUAGUCCCUGAGCGGGCUGGCAAGGCGCAU